This 406-nucleotide ribosomal RNA is filed under the name uncultured bacterium. Its description in RNAcentral is "partial 16S ribosomal RNA". It matches the Rfam family "Bacterial small subunit ribosomal RNA", at positions 30 to 526 of the family's 1533-position model. The record is from RNAcentral.
AUUGAACGCUGGCGGCAGGCCUAACACAUGCAAGUCGAACGAGUGGCGGACGGGUGAGUAAUGUCUGGGAAACUGCCAGAUGGAGGGGGAUAACUACUGGAAACGGUAGCUAAUACCGCAUACCCUCGGAUGUGCCCAGAUGGGAUGAGCUAGGAGGAGGGGUAACGGCUCACUUAGGCGACGCUCCCUAGCUGGUCUGAGAGGAUGACCAGCCACACUGGAACUGGUACACGGUCCAGACUCCGACGGGAGGGAGCAGUGGGGAAUAUUGCACAAGGGGCGCAAGCCGUAUGCAGCCAUGCCGCGUGUAUGAAGAAGGCCUUCGGGUUGUAAAGUACUUUCAGCGAGGAGGCGUUACUCGCAGAAGAAGCACCGGCUAACUCCGUGCCAGCAGCCGCGGUAAUUC